RNAcentral lists this transfer RNA (70 nucleotides) under Dipodomys ordii (Ord's kangaroo rat). It matches the Rfam family "tRNA". From Rfam's summary of the family: Transfer RNA (tRNA) molecules are approximately 80 nucleotides in length. Their secondary structure includes four short double-helical elements and three loops (D, anti-codon, and T loops). Further hydrogen bonds mediate the characteristic L-shaped molecular structure. tRNAs have two regions of fundamental functional importance: the anti-codon, which is responsible for specific mRNA codon recognition, and the 3' end, to which the tRNAs corresponding amino acid is attached (by aminoacyl-tRNA synthetases). tRNAs cope with the degeneracy of the genetic code in two manners: having more than one tRNA (with a specific anti-codon) for a particular amino acid; and 'wobble' base-pairing, i.e. permitting non-standard base-pairing at the 3rd anti-codon position. The record is from Rfam by way of RNAcentral. Lineage: Eukaryota; Metazoa; Chordata; Mammalia; Rodentia; Heteromyidae.
GGGAAUGUGGCUUAGUGGUAGAGUACUUGCCUAGCAUGCAUGAAGUCCUGGGUUCAGUUCCUCAGUACCA